ACCCAGACUCCUACGGGAGGCAGCAGUGGGGAAUAUUGCACAAUGGGGGGAACCCUGAUGCAGCGACGCCGCGUGGGCGAGGAAGUAUUUCGGUAUGUAAAGCCCUAUCGGCAGGGAAGAAGAAAUGACGGUACCUGAAUAAGAAGCACCGGCUAAAUACGUGCCAGCAGCCGCGGUAAUACGUAUGGUGCAAGCGUUAUCCGGAUUUACUGGGUGUAAAGGGGGCGCAGACGGCAGCGCAAGCCAGGAGUGAAAGCCCGGGGCCCAACCCCGGGACUGCUCUUGGAACUGCGCGGCUGGAGUGCAGGAGGGGCAGGCGGAAUUCCUGGUGUAGCGGUGAAAUGCGUAGAUAUCAGGAGGAACACCGGUGGCGAAGGCGGCCUGCUGGACUGCGACUGACGUUGAGGCCCGAAAGCGUGGGGAGCAAACAGGAUUAGAUACCCCCGUAAU
RNAcentral lists this ribosomal RNA (450 nucleotides) under uncultured bacterium. Its description in RNAcentral is "partial 16S ribosomal RNA". It matches the Rfam family "Bacterial small subunit ribosomal RNA", at positions 329 to 794 of the family's 1533-position model. The record is from RNAcentral.